UACGUAGGGGGGCAAGCGUUGUCCGGAAUCAUUGGGCGUAAAGAGCGCGUAGGCGGCCCUGUAAGUCCGCUGUGAAAGUCAAGGGCUCAACCCUUGGAUGCCGGUGGAUACUGCAGGGCUAGAGUCCGGAAGAGGCGAGUGGAAUUCCUGGUGUAGCGGUGAAAUGCGCAGAUAUCUGGAGGAACACCGGUGGCGAAGGCGGCGUUCUGGACUGCAACUGACACUGAAAAACGAAAGCCAGGGGAGCAAACGGG
Molecule: ribosomal RNA, 254 nt
Filed under: uncultured bacterium
Lineage: Bacteria
Description: partial 16S ribosomal RNA
Rfam family: Bacterial small subunit ribosomal RNA
Source: RNAcentral